UGUAGGGCACUGUUGAAUAAUUAGGGCUUAAGUCUCUUUCUAUAAUUGUCUCAUGGGUAUUUUAAGGUAAAUUUGAUUUCAGUUCAGUUCAGUCGCUCAGUCGUGUCCGACUCUUUGCGACCCCAUGAACCAUACCACGCCAGGCCUCCCUGUCCAUCACCAACUACCAGAAUUCACCCAAAUCCAUGUCCAAAUUUGAUUUAGAUUUUUGCAAUUGUAGUAAUAGGGCAAGAGGCAUAAAUAUUAGGGUAUUAAUAAAAAAUUUUAAUAUUAAAUGUUAUUUUGAAAGGUUAUUCAUUUUAAUAGAGUAUAAAAAUAAGGGAAACAUUGAAGCCAUCAUUUAUUUCACAGGAGUAAGAUAUGCUAAUAUGGGCUGGAUUAAAAUAACUUCUUUGAGUAAAGAGUAACAGAUGUAAGGAUAUAGUUUGUAUUUAGGAAUGGAAAAGUAGUCUGACCUGCCAUUAGUAACUUUCACUGUCUCCUCUUUGGUAGGACAGGCAGAGUGAGGUAGGGGUGGUGUCACUGUGAACAUUAGGGACCAUCCUUCUGUGUCUGUCACCGAAAGUGCAUCUCAGAGAGUCAGAUUCUGCAGAUCUGAGGUGAGGUUCAGAAGCUCCCCCAGGAAUUCUGAAUCCCUUCAACGAGAUCUGAGUCAGAGCAGGAGUCUGUGGUGAUAACCUUAUCCUCCCCUUCCUCUUGGACACCAAGGCUUUGAGGGAGCAUGAAGAGAUGCCUGGGGAACUCAGGAGAGCAGGGUUCUGCCAGUUGGGUCCUCCCCGUGGGGUUAGAGGUCAGGAGUGAGGUGGUGCCCAGAAGUCAUUUCCACAUGACUUGAGCUGCAGUGGUCAAGGGCAGAGACUGCAGAAGUCAGUGAUAACGGAUGAAGACCCUGUUCCAGUAAUCGAAUCACUGCUGUGUGGACGCUGACAUAACUUAGGUGUGUGUUCUGGGUUCUGCCUUGCAGGUGGCGCAUAAGCACCAGGGGAUGUCCAGACCCGGUCGCCCUCAGCACAAGGCUAGGAUGGCAGAAGCGUGAGGGUUGUUUGCUGUUCAUAUCUGAGCAAAACUCAGCAAGAUACUCUUAGCUAGGAGACAGAUUUUGUGUCAAUAAAUGGCAGAUAAUGGGAGAUGUUCCUCAUCUUGUUACGAGCCCUGUUUGGAUACCCCAGCUGUUUUAAAGU
This is a non-coding RNA of Odocoileus virginianus texanus, 1181 nucleotides long. The record is from RefSeq and is a predicted model, not a curated record. NCBI's taxonomy places the organism in Eukaryota, Metazoa, Chordata, Mammalia, Artiodactyla, Cervidae.